GCUUUCCAAUCAGCACGUCCUGCGCGCAGAGGUCUAUCUUCCACUGGGGCCCCCGCUUGUCUCUAGCUCCCGUCAAAUUGAUUUCUAGGUCUCAUGCUCCCAACACAAUCUGUUUUCAGAGCCAUAUCCGCACAAACUCGAAUCUCAAACUCUUUGAGCUUGUUGUGAAGGAAAACCAAGUUGACAUUCUGCUCACGAAACCUUAUCCCGUAGCAAAGAGUUUUUACACUACCGUUAUGUAACUGUGUAAAGCUGCUCCACCCCCCUUCCUACUUUUUGA
This 280-nucleotide long non-coding RNA is filed under the name Physcomitrium patens. Its description in RNAcentral is "long non-coding RNA (PPAT_LNC013466)". Lineage: Eukaryota; Viridiplantae; Streptophyta; Bryopsida; Funariales; Funariaceae. The record is from RNAcentral.